CACGGGGUUGCGAGCGUUGUCCGGAAUUACUAGGCGUGAAGGGCAGGCAGGCGGAUCCAUAAGUUUAUCGUUUAAGGCGUCGGCUUAACCGGCGUAGGGCGGUAGAUACUGUGGAUCUGGAAUGCGGUUGGGGAAGACAGAAUUCCUGGUGUAGCGGUGGAAUGCGCAGAGAUCAGGAGGAAUACCGAAGGCGAAGGCAGUCUUCCAAGCCGUUAUUGACGCUCAACUGCGAAGGUGUGGGUAUCAAACAGGAUUAGAUACCCUGGUAGUCCCU
This 274-nucleotide ribosomal RNA is filed under the name uncultured prokaryote. RNAcentral's name for it is "partial 16S ribosomal RNA". It matches the Rfam family "Bacterial small subunit ribosomal RNA", at positions 524 to 798 of the family's 1533-position model. The record is from RNAcentral.